UACGGAGGAUGCAAGCGUUAUCCGGAAUGAUUGGGCGUAAAGGGUCCGCAGGUGGCCGUGUAAGUCUGCUGUCAAAGAAUGAGGCUUAACCUCAUCAAGGCAGUGGAAACUACACAGCUAGAGUACGGUCGGGGUAGAAGGAAUUCCUGGUGUAGCGGUGAAAUGCGUAGAGAUCAGGAAGAACACCGGUGGCGAAAGCGUUCUGCUAGACCUGUACUGACACUGAGGGACGAAAGCUAGGGGAGCGAAUGGG
This 253-nucleotide ribosomal RNA is filed under the name uncultured bacterium. RNAcentral describes it as "partial 16S ribosomal RNA". It matches the Rfam family "Bacterial small subunit ribosomal RNA", at positions 524 to 776 of the family's 1533-position model. The record is from RNAcentral.